GAUGAACGCUGGCGGCGUGCCUAAUACAUGCAAGUCGAGCGAACAGACGAGGAGCUUGCCCCUCUGACGUUAGCGGCGGACGGGUGAGUAACACGUGGAUAACCUACCUAUAAGACUGGGAUAACUUCGGGAAACCGGAGCUAAUAUCGGAUAAUAUAUUGAACCGCAUGGUUCUACAGUGAAAGACGGUUCUGCUGUCACUUAUAGAUGGAUCCACGCCGCAUUAGCUAGUUGGUAAGGUAACGGCUUACCAAGGCAACGAUGCGUAGCCGACCUGAGAGGGUGAUCGGCCACACUGGAACUGAGACACGGUCCAGACUCCUACGGGAGGCAGCAGUAGGGAAUCUUCGGCAAUGGGCGAAAGCCUGACGGAGCAACGCCGCGUGAGUGAUGAAGGUCUUCGGAUCGUAAAACUCUGUUAUUAGGGAAGAACAAAUGUGUAAGUAACUAUGCACGUCUUGACGGUACCUAAUCAGAAAGCCACGGCUAACUACGUG
This 497-nucleotide ribosomal RNA is filed under the name uncultured bacterium. RNAcentral describes it as "partial 16S ribosomal RNA". It matches the Rfam family "Bacterial small subunit ribosomal RNA", at positions 28 to 507 of the family's 1533-position model. The record is from RNAcentral.